RNAcentral lists this ribosomal RNA (253 nucleotides) under uncultured bacterium. RNAcentral's name for it is "partial 16S ribosomal RNA". It matches the Rfam family "Bacterial small subunit ribosomal RNA", at positions 524 to 776 of the family's 1533-position model. The record is from RNAcentral.
UACGUAGGGUGCAAGCGUUGUCCGGAAUUAUUGGGCGUAAAGAGCUCGUAGGCGGUUUGUCGCGUCUGCUGUGAAAACUCGGGGCUUAACUCCGGGCCUGCAGUGGGUACGGGCAGACUAGAGUGCGGUAGGGGAGACUGGAAUUCCUGGUGUAGCGGUGAAAUGCGCAGAUAUCAGGAGGAACACCGGUGGCGAAGGCAGCCCCCUGGGUCAAGAUUGACGCUCAUGCACGAAAGCGUGGGGAGCAAACAGG